Molecule: ribosomal RNA, 507 nt
Filed under: Macromia moorei
Lineage: Eukaryota; Metazoa; Arthropoda; Insecta; Odonata; Macromiidae
Description: partial 16S ribosomal RNA
Rfam family: Bacterial large subunit ribosomal RNA
Source: RNAcentral
GUCCUCUUGAGGUUUUAUAAGAGGUUUGACCUGCCCGGUGAAUAAUUUAACGGCCGCGGUACUCUGACCGUGCAAAGGUAGCAUAAUCAUUAGUCUUUUAAAAGGAGGCUGGAAUGAAGGGUUUGACGAGGAAUUAACUGUCUCAUUUUUUUUGAAUUUAAAAUUUAACUUUUUAGUUAAAAGGCUAAAAUUUUAUUGGUAGACGAGAAGACCCUAUAGAGCUUUAUAUUUAUUUGAUUAUUUAUAUUAUAUUAUUUAUAAUUAUUUUAUAUAAAUAUUUUGUUGGGGUGACAAAAAUAUAUAAUUAACUUUUUUAUUUACAAUGCAUUGAUUUAUGUAUAUAAGAUCCAUUAUUAUUGAUUUUUAGAUUAAGUUACCUUAGGGAUAACAGCGUAAUCCUCUUCCAGAGUUCAUAUUUACGGGAGGGCUUGCGACCUCGAUGUUGGAUUAAGAUAAUAUUUAGGUGUAGCCGCUUAAAUAAUAGGUCUGUUCGACCUUUAAAUUCUU